AUUGAACGCUGGCGGCAGGCCUAACACAUGCAAGUCGAACGGUAACAGGAAGAAGCUUGCUUCUUUGCUGACGAGUGGCGGACGGGUGAGUAAUGUCUGGGAAACUGCCUGAUGGAGGGGGAUAACUACUGGAAACGGUAGCUAAUACCGCAUAACGUCGCAAGACCAAAGAGGGGGACCUUCGGGCCUCUUGCCAUCGGAUGUGCCCAGAUGGGAUUAGCUAGUAGGUGGGGUAACGGCUCACCUAGGCGACGAUCCCUAGCUGGUCUGAGAGGAUGACCAGCCACACUGGAACUGAGACACGGUCCAGACUCCUACGGGAGGCAGCAGUGGGGAAUAUUGCACAAUGGGCGCAAGCCUGAUGCAGCCAUGCCGCGUGUAUGAAGAAGGCCUUCGGGUUGUAAAGUAUUUUCAGCGGGGAGGAAGGGAGUAAAGUUAAUACCUUUGCUCAUUGACGUUACCCGCAGAAGAAGCACCGGCUAACUCCGUG
This 490-nucleotide ribosomal RNA is filed under the name uncultured bacterium. RNAcentral describes it as "partial 16S ribosomal RNA". It matches the Rfam family "Bacterial small subunit ribosomal RNA", at positions 30 to 507 of the family's 1533-position model. The record is from RNAcentral.